Molecule: transfer RNA, 73 nt
Filed under: Culex quinquefasciatus (southern house mosquito)
Lineage: Eukaryota; Metazoa; Arthropoda; Insecta; Diptera; Culicidae
Rfam family: tRNA
About the family: Transfer RNA (tRNA) molecules are approximately 80 nucleotides in length. Their secondary structure includes four short double-helical elements and three loops (D, anti-codon, and T loops).
Source: Rfam by way of RNAcentral
GCAGCCGUGGCAGACUGGUCACGGUGUUUGCUUUGUAAGCGAAUGGUCGUGGGUUCGAUUUCCAUCUGCUCCC